This is a long non-coding RNA of Brassica napus (rape), 594 nucleotides long. RefSeq lists it as uncharacterized. NCBI's taxonomy places the organism in Eukaryota, Viridiplantae, Streptophyta, Magnoliopsida, Brassicales, Brassicaceae. The transcript has 2 exons. The record is from RefSeq and is a predicted model, not a curated record.
UUGAGAGGAAAACAAAAGUCGAAGGCGACGAAGAAGUCGGUGGAUUCCGCGAGAAAGAGUCUCGGUGGUCUGAUCGUGGGAGAAUCUCGGCGGUGGCUUUCGUAGCCGAAGAAUCGUCGGUGGGUUUCGUCGACGACCAAUCUCUGUGGGCUCUCCUCGAUGAAGAACCUCGGUGGCGUUGCUCGAAGAAGAAUCUCGGUGGCUCUGAGCAUCGGAGAAUCUCUGUGGCUCUCCUCGACGGAGGAAAUCAGCGGCUCUCCUCUACAAACAAACUCCUCGGUUGGCGCCUAGUUUAAUCGAAAGGUUGAUGGUUUGGUCAAAGAGAGCAUAGGGAGCAUCCUUCUAUUUUCAGGUUGAUGGUUUGUGGUAAGUAUAAUGGUUUGGACAAAGAGAUCAUGGGCUCAGUUCACAUGAAAUGUCUUCUACAGGCGUUGUAGCUUCGUAGUUAAAUAUUUUUUUAUUGUUAAGAACCUUACUUAAGAAACUACUAAUAAACCACUUAAUAUUUCUUUAAAAUUUUAUGUUUAAAAAUAAGUUAAAUAUUUUUUUAUUGUUAAGAACCUUACUUAAGAAACUACCAAUAAACCACUUAAA